Molecule: ribosomal RNA, 432 nt
Filed under: uncultured bacterium
Lineage: Bacteria
Description: partial 16S ribosomal RNA
Rfam family: Bacterial small subunit ribosomal RNA
Source: RNAcentral
CCUACGGGAGGCAGCAGUGGGGAAUAUUGGACAAUGGGCGCAAGCCUGAUCCAGCCAUGCCGCGUGAGUGAUGAAGGCCCUAGGGUUGUAAAGCUCUUUCGCACGCGACGCGGUAGCGUGAGAAGAAGCCCCGGCUAACUUCGUGCCAGCAGCCGCGGUAAUACGAAGGGGGCUAGCGUUGUUCGGAAUCACUGGGCGUAAAGGGCGCGUAGGCGGCCGAUCAAGUCGGGGGUGAAAGCCUGUGGCUCAACCACAGAAUUGCCUUCGAUACUGUUUGGCUUGAGACCGGAAGAGGUUAGUGGAACUGCGAGUGUAGAGGUGAAAUUCGUAGAUAUUCGCAAGAACACCAGUGGCGAAGGCGGCUGACUGGUCCGGUCUGACGCUGAGGCGCGAAAGCGUGGGGAGCAAACAGGAUUAGAUACCCUUGUAGUC